This 369-nucleotide ribosomal RNA is filed under the name uncultured bacterium. RNAcentral's name for it is "bacterial SSU rRNA". It matches the Rfam family "Bacterial small subunit ribosomal RNA", at positions 30 to 402 of the family's 1533-position model. The record is from RNAcentral.
AUUGAACGCUGGCGGCAUGCCUUACACAUGCAAGUCGAACGGCAGCACGGGAGCAAUCCUGGUGGCGAGUGGCGAACGGGUGAGUAAUAUAUCGGAACGUGCCCAGUCGUGGGGAUAACGUAGCGAAAGCUACGCUAAUACCGCAUACGAUCUAUGGAUGAAAGCGGGGGAUCGCAAGACCUCGCGCGAUUGGAGCGGCCGAUAUCAGAUUAGGUAGUUGGUGAGGUAAAGGCUCACCAAGCCGACGAUCUGUAGCUGGUCUGAGAGGACGACCAGCCACACUGGAACUGAGACACGGUCCAGACUCCUACGGGAGGCAGCAGUGGGAAUUUUGGACAAUGGACGCAAGUCUGAUCAGCCAUUCCGCGU